CCUACGGGUGGCUGCAGUGGGGAAUAUUGGACAAUGGGCGAAAGCCUGAUCCAGCCAUGCCGCGUGUGUGAAGAAGGCCUUCGGGUUGUAAAGCACUUUCAGUGGGGAAGAAAGCCUUGGGGCUAAUACCCUCGAGGAAGGACAUCACCCACAGAAGAAGCACCGGCUAACUCCGUGCCAGCAGCCGCGGUAAUACGGAGGGUGCGAGCGUUAAUCGGAAUUACUGGGCGUAAAGCGCGCGUAGGCGGUCUGAUAAGCCGGUUGUGAAAGCCCCGGGCUCAACCUGGGAACGGCAUCCGGAACUGUCAGGCUAGAGUGCAGGAGAAGAAGGUAGAAUUCCCGGUGUAGCGGUGAAAUGCUUAGAGAUCGGGAGGAAUACCAGUGGCGAAGGCGGCCUUCUGGACUGACACUGACGCUGAGGUGCGAAAGCGUGGGUAGCAAACAGGAUUAGAUACCCGUGUAGUC
This 465-nucleotide ribosomal RNA is filed under the name Vreelandella stevensii. Its description in RNAcentral is "partial 16S ribosomal RNA". It matches the Rfam family "Bacterial small subunit ribosomal RNA", at positions 338 to 795 of the family's 1533-position model. The record is from RNAcentral. Lineage: Bacteria; Pseudomonadati; Pseudomonadota; Gammaproteobacteria; Oceanospirillales; Halomonadaceae.